AUGACCAAUAAGUGUGAGGCUCCUUUUGGAUUACAAAAUGACCAAAAUGAAGUGAUUGUAGGCUACCAGAAGAAUGAAGAGUCACUGAAGAAGUAUGUUGAGGAAUGCAUAGUGAAGAUUGAAAAAGAAGGCCAGAGGUACCAGGCACUGAAGAUCCAUGCAGAAGAAAAGCUCAGGCUGGCAAGUGAGGAGAUCGCCCAGGUACACAGCAAGGCCCAAGCAGAGGCACUGGCUUUGCAGGCAAGCCUGAGGAAGGCACAAAUGCAGAACCACUCACUGGAGAUGACUCUGGAGCAGAAGACAAAAGAAAUUGAUGAGCUGACCCGGAUCUGUGAUGACCUCAUCUCUAAAAUGGAGAAGAUCUGAGCACAGCCAGCUAUAACCAGCGCUCUUCUGUCUGUCUGCCCAUUUAUUUCCUUAUCUGUCUGAUUUAUCU
Molecule: non-coding RNA, 436 nt
Organism: Mus caroli (Ryukyu mouse)
Lineage: Eukaryota; Metazoa; Chordata; Mammalia; Rodentia; Muridae
Source: RefSeq, a predicted model, not a curated record